UGGGGAAUAUUGCGCAAUGGGGGAAACCCUGACGCAGCGACGCCGCGUGCGGGAUGAAGGCCUUCGGGUUGUAAACCGCUUUUGAUUGGGAGCAAGCCUUCGGGUGAGUGUACCUUUCGAAUAAGCGCCGGCUAACUACGUGCCAGCAGCCGCGGUAAUACGUAGGGCGCAAGCGUUAUCCGGAAUUAUUGGGCGUAAAGAGCUUGUAGGCGGUUCGUCGCGUCUGGUGUGAAAGCCCAUCGCUUAACGGUGGGUCUGCGCCGGGUACGGGCGGGCUAGAGUGCAGUAGGGGAGACUGGAAUUCCCGGUGUAACGGUGGAAUGUGUAGAUAUCGGGAAGAACACCAAUGGCGAAGGCAGGUCUCUGGGCUGUUACUGACGCUGAGAAGCGAAAGCGUGGGGAGCGAACAGG
Molecule: ribosomal RNA, 411 nt
Filed under: uncultured Gardnerella sp.
Lineage: Bacteria; Bacillati; Actinomycetota; Actinomycetes; Bifidobacteriales; Bifidobacteriaceae
Description: bacterial SSU rRNA
Rfam family: Bacterial small subunit ribosomal RNA
Source: RNAcentral